Molecule: transfer RNA, 57 nt
Filed under: Schistocephalus solidus
Lineage: Eukaryota; Metazoa; Platyhelminthes; Cestoda; Diphyllobothriidea; Diphyllobothriidae
Rfam family: tRNA
About the family: Transfer RNA (tRNA) molecules are approximately 80 nucleotides in length. Their secondary structure includes four short double-helical elements and three loops (D, anti-codon, and T loops).
Source: Rfam by way of RNAcentral
GAGCCCGUGGUUGAAUGGUUAGAGCGUUUGACUUCUAAUCAACAGGUCACGGGUUCA